AUUGAACGCUGGCGGAAUGCUUUACACAUGCAAGUCGAACGGCAGCACGGGGGCAACCCUGGUGGCGAGUGGCGAACGGGUGAGUAAUACAUCGGAACGUGCCCAGUCGUGGGGGAUAACGUAGCGAAAGUUACGCUAAUACCGCAUACGAUCUACGGAUGAAAGCGGGGGACCGUAAGGCCUCGCGCGAUUGGAGCGGCCGAUGUCAGAUUAGGUAGUUGGUGAGGUAAAGGCUCACCAAGCCGACGAUCUGUAGCUGGUCUGAGAGGACGACCAGCCACACUGGGACUGAGACACGGCCCAGACUCCUACGGGAGGCAGCAGUGGGGAAUUUUGGACAAUGGGCGCAAGCCUGAUCCAGCCAUUCCGCGUGCAGGAAGGCCUUCGGGUUGUAAACUGCUUUUGUACGGAACGAAAAGGCUCUGGUUAAUACCUAGGGCUCAUGACGGUACCGUAAGAAUAAGCACCGGCUAACUACGUGCCAGCCGCCGCGGUAA
RNAcentral lists this ribosomal RNA (497 nucleotides) under uncultured bacterium. Its description in RNAcentral is "partial 16S ribosomal RNA". It matches the Rfam family "Bacterial small subunit ribosomal RNA", at positions 30 to 523 of the family's 1533-position model. The record is from RNAcentral.